UCAAAAACAUCUUUUCUUGUUAGUUUCUGAAGUAUGGCCUGCCCGCUGACGUAUUUUGAGUUGAAGGGCCGCGGUAUUUUGACCGUGCAAAGGUAGCAUAGUCAUUAGUUCUUUAAUUGUGAUCUGGUAUGAAUGGCUUGACGAGACAUGGGCUGUCUUGGGUGUGAAUUUGUUGUUGAAUUUGGAGUUUAAGUUAAAAUUCUUAGAUGUUUUUAUGGGACGAGAAGACCCUAUAGAGUUUGACAUUUGAUUGCGUAUUUCUUGUUGUUUGUUUUGAAUUUUUGUGCAUCUCUUGUUUUGUUGGGGUGAUGGGAGGAAUUUAUUUAA
This 327-nucleotide ribosomal RNA is filed under the name Odontotermes horni. RNAcentral describes it as "partial 16S ribosomal RNA". The record is from RNAcentral. Lineage: Eukaryota; Metazoa; Arthropoda; Insecta; Blattodea; Termitidae.